CGAUGGAGGGGGAUAACUACUGGAAACGGUAGCUAAUACCGCAUAACGUCGCAAGACCAAAGAGGGGGGACCUUGGGCCUCUUGCCAUCGGAUGUGCCCAGAUGGGAUUAGCUAGUAGGUGGGGUAACGGCUCACCUAGGCGACGAUCCCUAGCUGGUCUGAGAGGAUGACCAGCCACACUGGAACUGAGACACGGUCCAG
This 201-nucleotide ribosomal RNA is filed under the name uncultured bacterium. RNAcentral's name for it is "partial 16S ribosomal RNA". It matches the Rfam family "Bacterial small subunit ribosomal RNA", at positions 131 to 334 of the family's 1533-position model. The record is from RNAcentral.